Molecule: ribosomal RNA, 497 nt
Filed under: uncultured bacterium
Lineage: Bacteria
Description: partial 16S ribosomal RNA
Rfam family: Bacterial small subunit ribosomal RNA
Source: RNAcentral
GAUGAACGCUGGCGGCGUGCCUAACACAUGCAAGUCGAGCGAACAGACGAGGAGCUUGCUCCUCUGACGUUAGCGGCGGACGGGUGAGUAACACGUGGAUAACCUACCUAUAAGACUGGUAUAACUUCGGGAAACCGGAGCUAAUCCCGGAUAAUAUAUUGAACCGCAUGGUUCAAUAGUGAAAGACGGUUUUGCUGUCACUUAUAGAGGGAUCUGCGCCGCAUUAGCUAGUUGGUAAGGUAACGGCUUACCAAGGCAACGAGGCGUAGCCGACCUGAGAGGGUGAUCGGCGGCACGGGAGCUGGAACGCGGUCCAUGCUCCUGAGGGACGCAGCAGUAGGGAAUGUGCGGCAGUGGUCGGGAGCCUGGCGGAGCAACGCCGCGUGAGUGAUAAAGACGUUGGGAGCGUGAUGCCGUGUUAUUGGGGAAGAACAAAUGUGUAAGUAACUGUAGACGGCUUGACGGUACCGGAUCAGGAAGCCACGGCUAACUACGUG